This 253-nucleotide ribosomal RNA is filed under the name uncultured bacterium. RNAcentral's name for it is "partial 16S ribosomal RNA". It matches the Rfam family "Bacterial small subunit ribosomal RNA", at positions 524 to 776 of the family's 1533-position model. The record is from RNAcentral.
UACGUAGGUGGCAAGCGUUGUCCGGAUUUAUUGGGCGUAAAGAGCGUGUAGGCGGCCAGGGAGGUCCGUUGUGAAAACUCGAGGCUCAACCUCGAGACGCCGAUGGAAACCCCCUGGCUAGAGUCCGGGAGAGGUGAGUGGAACUGCGAGUGUAGAGGUGAAAUUCGUAGAUAUUCGCAAGAACACCAGUGGCGAAGGCGGCUCACUGGCCCGGUACUGACGCUGAGGUGCGAAAGCGUGGGGAGCAAACAGG